Molecule: ribosomal RNA, 361 nt
Filed under: uncultured bacterium
Lineage: Bacteria
Description: partial 16S ribosomal RNA
Rfam family: Bacterial small subunit ribosomal RNA
Source: RNAcentral
CCUACGGGUGGCAGCAGUGGGGAAUAUUGGACAAUGGGGGGAACCCUGAUCCAGCGACGCCGCGUGAGUGAAGAAGGAUGUCGGUAUGGAAAGCUCUAGCAGCAGGGAAGAAAAGGACGGUACCUGACUAAGAAGCCCCGGCUAACGACGUGCCAGCAGCCGCGGUAAGACGUAGGGGGAAUGCGUUAUCCGGAUUGACUGGGUGUAAAGGGAGCGUAGACGGGGCAGCAAGUCUGAUGUGAAAGGUCGGGGCCCCACCCCGGGACUGCAUUGGAAACUGUUGAACUGUAGUUCAGGUGCGGUCAGCGGACUUCCUCGUGUCGCGGUGCAAUUCGUAGCUCUUAGGCGGCACCCCAGUUGC